UGGGGAAUUUUGGACAAUGGGCGCAAGCCUGAUCCAGCCAUGCCGCGUGCAGGAUGAAGGCCUUCGGGUUGUAAACUGCUUUUGUACGGAACGAAAAGGUGCCUUCUAAUAAAGGGCGCUCAUGACGGUACCGUAAGAAUAAGCACCGGCUAACUACGUGCCAGCAGCCGCGGUAAUACGUAGGGUGCGAGCGUUAAUCGGAAUUACUGGGCGUAAAGCGUGCGCAGGCGGUUUUGUAAGACAGAGGUGAAAUCCCCGGGCUCAACCUGGGAACUGCCUUUGUGACUGCAAGGCUGGAGUGCGGCAGAGGGGGAUGGAAUUCCGCGUGUAGCAGUGAAAUGCGUAGAUAUGCGGAGGAACACCGACGGCGAAGGCAAUCCCCUGGGCCUGCACUGACGCUCAUGCACGAAAGCGUGGGGAGCAAACA
Molecule: ribosomal RNA, 427 nt
Filed under: uncultured bacterium
Lineage: Bacteria
Description: bacterial SSU rRNA
Rfam family: Bacterial small subunit ribosomal RNA
Source: RNAcentral